RNAcentral lists this long non-coding RNA (1360 nucleotides) under Bos mutus (wild yak). RNAcentral describes it as "lncRNA (ENSBMUG00000026316.1)". Lineage: Eukaryota; Metazoa; Chordata; Mammalia; Artiodactyla; Bovidae. The record is from RNAcentral.
UGUCUGUGUCCCCCAGGUUCAGAGUGCCAUGCAGUUCAAAGCACCGAGUGAAAUGUCUGCGUCUACAGCUUGGAGCCCGAGGGUCAACCCACGUUGGUGAUUUUCCAUGGCACACGGAUGUUCUGAUACAAGCAUUUAAUCAAUGCUGCUGGGAGCGAGAAUGGAUUGGCUUGAAAGUGUCCAAAACCAGGCGGAGGACUUCAGAGUCUGGUCGAUUUUUUGUCAGAGUUGUUUUUAUGUUCUGGAUUCUAACAAUUCACUAGUCACGCGCACGGCAAUGCUUUUAUCCGAGUCUCUGUUUGCUUUUCACUCUGUUUGUGGGAAGCCUCUGGCGCUCGGAGCUUCACGUUCAAGCCGGACGGCUUAUCAGUGCGCUCCUUACUGUCUGUCCUGUGCCUCAUGUGAGAAGCCCUUCGCGUCACCAGCAUCACACGCAGGCUCUGUUUCCUGUAAAAGGCUCACAGAAAAGCCUGAAUGAACUUUUGGGCCAACCCAAUGGUUUGGUUUUUCACGUUUCACAAAACGUAACAGUCUAUAAGGCGAUUUUCAUCGCCCUGCAGCUCCGUGCACCUGUGGCGGAGGCCGGCACGGAACCGAACCCUCCUCCCGUGGAAAGGCGGUGUCCUUGCGCCACUUGUGAGACAAGCUGUUUUCACACCUACGCUGUUCGGUGUGGCAGCCCAGAGCCACACGUGCCAUUCACACGUAAGCAAACCGACAUGAAACAAAAUUUAAAACUCGGUUUCUCAGACCCCGUUGGUGGUGUUUCAAAUGCUCAGUGGUCACACGAGUGGAUAAUUAUAAAAAUGAGUACAGGUAGGAAAGGUGUAGAAACACGAUUCCGUGACUGCGUGAACGCACGUGGACAUCAGCGCUAAUUAGGGUCAUCCUUCUGACGGAUGGAAGAUUUACAAAAACUGGCCACGUUUCAGAAAUACCAACCUGUGGGGCCUGCAAGAUGCAUUCUCUGCUGAAAGAGGAGUCAACUUAGAAAUCAGUAGUAAAUGAUAUUAGCAAACCCCACAGUUUCAGAAUGAAAAAAAAUGCUUCUAAAUAGUCCGGCUUCAAAGAGGUGCUCGUACGGAAAUGAGAAGAUAGAUCUGGACAGUAACUGCUUACCAAAACUAGUGGGCGAAGCGGGGAGGAGCCCGUCUGUUUUAUGCAUUUUUGUGUAAAUCCAGUAUUUUGGGAUCUUGGUUUCCUGACCAAGGAUAGAACCCACAGCCCGUGCAGUGGAAACGCAGCCAGCCGCCGGACUGCCAGGGAAGCCCGCAUACCUGAGACACUUUGGUCUGGGACUUCCAGCCUCCAGGACUAUGAGAAAAAUAAAUUUCUUAAAAACAAUUUUUUGAGCCUCCUA